Molecule: ribosomal RNA, 301 nt
Filed under: uncultured bacterium
Lineage: Bacteria
Description: partial 16S ribosomal RNA
Rfam family: Bacterial small subunit ribosomal RNA
Source: RNAcentral
CAGUAGCCGCGGUAAUACGAAGAGGGCUAGCGUUGCUCGGAAUGACUGGGCGUAAAGGGCGCGUAGGCGGCGAUCAAAGUCAGGCGUGAAAUUCCUGGGCUCAACCUGGGGGCUGCGCUUGAUACUUGGUUGCUUGAGUGGGGAAGAGGGUCGUGGAAUUCCCAGUGUAGAGGUGAAAUUCGUAGAUAUUGGGAAGAACACCGGUGGCGAAGGCGGCGACCUGGUCCUUGACUGACGCUGAGGCGCGAAAGCGUGGGGAGCAAACAGGAUUAGAUACCCGCGUAGUCCCUGUCUCUUAUAA